GUUUAUAUAUUUAAUAUAAAAUUUGAAUUGCAAUCAAAAAAUAUUGGCUAAUCCAAUUAU
This 60-nucleotide transfer RNA is filed under the name Peripatoides sympatrica. RNAcentral describes it as "tRNA-Ala". The record is from RNAcentral. Lineage: Eukaryota; Metazoa; Onychophora; Udeonychophora; Euonychophora; Peripatopsidae.